GUCCACGCCCUAAACGAUGUCGACUGGUUGUUGGGGGUUUGACACUCUCAGUAACGAAGCUAACGCGUGAAGUCGACCGCCUGGGGAGUACGGCCGCAAGGUUAAAACUCAAAGGAAUUGACGGGGACCCGCACAAGCGGUGGAUUAUGUGGAUUAAUUCGAUGCAACGCGAAAAACCUUACCUACCCUUGACAUGUCCGAGAGCCCGCAGAGAUGUGGGUGUGCCCGAAAGUGAAUCGGAACACAGGUGCUGCAUGGCUGUCGU
RNAcentral lists this ribosomal RNA (265 nucleotides) under uncultured bacterium. Its description in RNAcentral is "partial 16S ribosomal RNA". It matches the Rfam family "Bacterial small subunit ribosomal RNA", at positions 793 to 1055 of the family's 1533-position model. The record is from RNAcentral.